CACCAGGUUGAUUCUGCCUGACGUAGACGCUAUACUCUAAGAUUAACCCAUGCAUGUUUAUUGAAUAUAAAGAAAAGACGAACAGCUCAGUAACUCUUAUUUGAUUUGAUGUAUUAGGAUUCUAACUAUGUUAAAUUAUAGGUAACAAUAAUACAAUAAGAAUAAGAUCUAUCAGUUAGUUGUUAAGGUAAUGGCUUAACAAGACUAUGACGGAUAACGGUAUUACUUUGUAAUAUUCCGGAGAAGGAGCCUGAGAGAUUGCUACUAAGUCUAAGGAUUGCAGCAGGGGCGAAACUUGACCUAUGAUAUUAUAUUGAGGCAGUUAUGAGUAGUAUUUUAUAAUUAUUGUAGUAUUGUAAGUACAUAUUACAAGAUAAAUCGGAGGGCAAAUCGAGUGCCAGCA
RNAcentral lists this ribosomal RNA (403 nucleotides) under Nosema bombycis. RNAcentral describes it as "SSU rRNA". It matches the Rfam family "Microsporidia small subunit ribosomal RNA", at positions 1 to 398 of the family's 1311-position model. The record is from RNAcentral. Lineage: Eukaryota; Fungi; Microsporidia; Nosematidae. RNAcentral also lists the same sequence under 2 other names.